This 273-nucleotide long non-coding RNA is filed under the name Rattus norvegicus (Norway rat). RNAcentral's name for it is "long non-coding RNA NONRATT029993". Lineage: Eukaryota; Metazoa; Chordata; Mammalia; Rodentia; Muridae. The record is from RNAcentral.
GCACGAGGGUGCAGCAGCACUGCUCUAAGUCACACCCACAUCCCCAUCACUGGCUGGAUGGACGGAGAAGAGUGUGUGAAUGUCUCCUGCGUAGUUCUACUCCCAUCUGAGCAUCACGGAACAUAAAGGAUACGGGCAUCCAGGGAGGGGAGGUCUGAUGUGCGAUUUCUUUCAAAACCACAGCUUAAGGGUGGGUCCCUGGGCCGUAGCCUGGCCAUGUUAAUGUUUUCACAGGACAUGCUGAGCAUUUAGAUUAAAGAAGCUGGGUGUGUA